AAAUCCUUUAUUUUUUUAUUUUUUCUUAUUGGGCCAUUAUCUUAAUUGGGUUGGGCUUAGUUCUGGGUCGUAACAUUCUUCUCCCUUAACAAAAAUUUUAUCCUUGAAAUUUUUCGUACCUGUGGUCUCGAAGAGCUAGGGAUAUUUCUGCUUCAUUUCUUCCUCUAGUUUCUAAGUGGCUUCUCUUUCCGAAUGAUGACUCCACUGUACCUUGAUAUAGGGAAUAUUACGAUGUCUUAACACUUAUUCUUUACAAUCCACGAUCCGUAC
This 270-nucleotide long non-coding RNA is filed under the name Elaeis guineensis (African oil palm). Its description in RNAcentral is "long non-coding RNA (EGUI_LNC024063)". The record is from RNAcentral. Lineage: Eukaryota; Viridiplantae; Streptophyta; Magnoliopsida; Arecales; Arecaceae.